RNAcentral lists this ribosomal RNA (373 nucleotides) under uncultured organism. RNAcentral describes it as "partial 16S ribosomal RNA". It matches the Rfam family "Bacterial small subunit ribosomal RNA", at positions 527 to 896 of the family's 1533-position model. The record is from RNAcentral.
GUAGGGUGCGAGCGUUGUCCGGAUUUAUUGGGCGUAAAGGGCUCGUAGGUGGUUGAUCGCGUCGGAAGUGUAAUCUUGGGGCUUAACCCUGAGCGUGCUUUCGAUACGGGUUGACUUGAGGAAGGUAGGGGAGAAUGGAAUUCCUGGUGGAGCGGUGGAAUGCGCAGAUAUCAGGAGGAACACCAGUGGCGAAGGCGGUUCUCUGGGCCUUUCCUGACGCUGAGGAGCGAAAGCGUGGGGAGCGAACAGGCUUAGAUACCCUGGUAGUCCACGCUGUAAACGGUGGGUACUAGGUGUGGGGUCCCAUUCCACGGGUUCCGUGCCGUAGCUAACGCUUUAAGUACCCCGCCUGGGGAGUACGGCCGCAAGGCUA